AAACUUACCUUACACAGGAGAUAUCGUGAUCAACAAGGCGGUUCUCCCAGAACGAGAUCCAACCAUUGCACUUUGGGUGGAUUGGCUUCUGCGUUUACCCCAAAUGUGGGUAAAUAGGGUGUACAUUUUCUGAUAGUGGGGUAACUGCGUUCGCGCUUUUCCCUG
This 165-nucleotide small nuclear RNA is filed under the name Helobdella robusta. Its description in RNAcentral is "U1 spliceosomal RNA". It matches the Rfam family "U1 spliceosomal RNA". Rfam says of the family: U1 is a small nuclear RNA (snRNA) component of the spliceosome (involved in pre-mRNA splicing). Lineage: Eukaryota; Metazoa; Annelida; Clitellata; Rhynchobdellida; Glossiphoniidae. The record is from Rfam by way of RNAcentral.